This 466-nucleotide ribosomal RNA is filed under the name Clostridioides difficile. RNAcentral describes it as "bacterial LSU rRNA". It matches the Rfam family "Bacterial large subunit ribosomal RNA", at positions 469 to 937 of the family's 2925-position model. Lineage: Bacteria; Bacillati; Bacillota; Clostridia; Peptostreptococcales; Peptostreptococcaceae. The record is from RNAcentral.
AAUACUACCUAGUGACCGAUAGCGUAUAGUACCGUGAGGGAAAGGUGAAAAGAACCCCGGGAGGGGAGUGAAAUAGAACCUGAAACCCUGCACUUACAAGCUGUGGAAGCACAUUUCUUGUGUGACCGCGUACUUUUUGUAGAACGGGCCAACGAGUUACGUUAAGUAGCAAGGUUAAGCACUUAAGGUGUGGAGCCGUAGCGAAAGCGAGUUUUAACUGAGCGUUCAGUUACUUGACGUAGACCCGAAACCGGGCGACCUACCCAUGAGCAGGAUGAAGCGAAAGUAAAAUUUCGUGGAGGUCCGAACCCACGAGCGUUGAAAAGCUCGGGGAUGACUUGUGGGUAGCGGUGAAAUUCCAAUCGAGCCCGGAGAUAGCUGGUUCUCCCCGAAAUAGCUUUAGGGCUAGCCUCAAGGUGAGAGAUACGGAGGUAGAGCACUGAAUGUCCUAGGGGGUAUUGCACCU